CCUACGGGAGGCAGCAGUGGGGAAUUUUGGACAAUGGGCGAAAGCCUGAUCCAGCCAUUCCGCGUGCAGGAUGAAGGCCCUCGGGUUGUAAACUGCUUUUGUACAGAACGAAAAGGUUUCUAUUAAUACUAGGAGCUCAUGACGGUACUGUAAGAAUAAGCACCGGCUAACUACGUGCCAGCAGCCGCGGUAAUACGUAGGGUGCAAGCGUUAAUCGGAAUUAUUGGGCGUAAAGCGUCCGCAGGCGGUCUUUUAAGUCUGUCGUCAAAGCGUGGAGCUUAACUCCAUUACUGCGAUGGAAACUGGGAGACUAGAGUGUGGUAGGGGCAGAGGGAAUUCCCGGUGUAGCGGUGAAAUGCGUAGAUAUCGGGAAGAACACCAGUGGCGAAGGCGCUCUGCUGGGCCAUAACUGACGCUCAUGGACGAAAGCCAGGGGAGCAAAAGGGAUUAGAUACCCCUGUAGUCCUGGCCGUAAACGAUGAACACUAGGUGUCGAGGGAAUCGACCCCCUCGGUGUCGUAGCCAACGCGUUAAGUGUUCCGCCUGGGGAGUACGCACGCAAGUGUGAAACUCAAAGGAAUUGACGG
Molecule: ribosomal RNA, 587 nt
Filed under: uncultured bacterium
Lineage: Bacteria
Description: bacterial SSU rRNA
Rfam family: Bacterial small subunit ribosomal RNA
Source: RNAcentral